GACAGAGGUGCCGAGCGUUAGGCGGAAUCACUGGGCUUAAAGCGUGUGUAGGCGGGUCCGUAAGUUCCUUGUUAAAUCCCCCGGCUCAACCGUGGAACUGCUUGGUAUACUGCGGGUCUUGAGCCACUUAGGGGCAAGCGGAACAAACGGUGGAGCGGUGAAAUGCGUAGAUAUCGUUUGGAACGCCAAUGGUGAAAACAGCUUGCUGGGAGUGUGCUGACGCUGAGACACGAAAGCCAGGGGAGCAAACGGG
This 253-nucleotide ribosomal RNA is filed under the name uncultured bacterium. Its description in RNAcentral is "partial 16S ribosomal RNA". It matches the Rfam family "Bacterial small subunit ribosomal RNA", at positions 524 to 776 of the family's 1533-position model. The record is from RNAcentral.